Molecule: non-coding RNA, 12313 nt
Organism: Monodelphis domestica (gray short-tailed opossum)
Lineage: Eukaryota; Metazoa; Chordata; Mammalia; Didelphimorphia; Didelphidae
Source: RefSeq, a predicted model, not a curated record
GGGGUUUGGUAACCUUUUUUGUAAUGAGCUUAUUUUGUGUGUUUCUCUGUUAUUAUUCAUUUUUUCUUCAUAUACAAAAAUUUUUCCCCUUUAGGCUUUUCUUCUAUGACUCUACAAGGUUGUUAAUGAUCAGUAAUACCAGUGGGAGUUGGUUGAUUUCUGAAGAGGAUUAGUUCAUAAGAAGAAAAAGAACUUUCUUUUGUACUUUUGUCAGUGAUUCUAGAUGUUCCAAAACUCAGUUAUGCUGAAACACUGAACUGAAACCCUGGCUUUCUUGAAAAAUAUCCAAGUGAUAUGAGUCAGCAUUCCUAUCCAAGAUUCAGAACUUCUCUAAAUGAAUCUGAGGAGUUAAAUUAAAUGUUCAGCUCAAAGUCAACUUAUUCCAAAGAAAACUAGUUAUAUCUUUUGCAUGAAAUCUACUCCCUCCAUUUUCUAGCUUUCCUAUUUCUGUUAAGAGUACCACUGCCCUACCAGAUUGCCAGGUCUUGAGAAAUGUCCCCUGUUCGGUUCACUUCCAGUACACUCUCUGCCUUGUUCCAUCUCUAUUUCAACUGCCUUGCUCACCACACUCCCAAGAAUAUAACCUCCUUUCCUUUCCCUGCUUCCUUUUUCCAGAUGCUCUUUAUGCUUUCUUUUCCUUAAUAAAAGUUAAUCUCCUUGAGAGCAAGGAUAUUAUAGUCUUAAUUUUGAAUCUCUAGCACUUUAAUUCUGUGCUUGGCAUACAAUACGCAUUUAAUAAAUGAUCUAUCUAUUUACCCUUACAUCUAUCCUUCCUUCUUUCUUCUCUUCCUCCCUCCUUUCCUACUUCUCCUCCACCCAAUGCCUUUUGUACAAUGACAAAUGCUCCUAGAUUUGAUUGAUCCAACUGGUUUUAUUUAAUCAUAUAUGCAUAUAGAUCAUAAAUCAAAGAUUUAGAAAUAUAAGGUAAUUGAGAGAUCAUGUGGUUCAAUUCCAAGUGUCAGAGAUUGUGACUAGUUUAUGGCCACAGAGUUAAAAAGUGUCAGGAGCAGAGUCUGAACAAAGGUCUAUUUAAUUCCACAUCAGCACACUCUCCCUAAACUAUGUUGUCUCUCUAUUUGCAGUGGGUGCACCAAGGACAUUCCAAAUCAUUAAUCUGUAGUCUUUUACCAUGAUAGAGAGAGAGAUUUAAAACUGUUAAACUGGAAGGUGCAAUCCUUUACUGCUCUCCUAUGGUUUUUGCCAUAUCCUGAUUUAGCAGGAGUCUUUAGAGCAUCUGAUGUAUGAAAACAGAAUGCUUCGCAAGCACACAAAUAAGAGUUUGGAUCACCCAUCCCUAUAACCCUUCUUUUGAGGGAAUUUCUGACUCAGUCAUUCCAACACAUAACAACACAUGAAACUUCAAAUUAUAAUCCAUGGAGUAUGUAAAUUGAUUUAAGCAUCACUCCCCCACCCCAAUAUGCACAUAUGGGGUUCUUUCUGGUCUUCUUUUAUAUCUUUUCCUCACAUCUGGCAGCAGGAUGCCUUUUAUAUAGCAUUAAAUCAGAUUUCAUCCUUAUUAUAAUUGCGUGUGUCACUGUUACAUGUCCUUCACUUGACUAAAACAUGAAAAUGGUGAGGAUGGGAUUCAGUAUUCCAAUUUUCAUAGUAAUGACAUUCCAGGGGAGAAAUGAGAUCUUGGCUUGGGUGGUAGGUAUAUGUAAUUCAAUUUUAAGUUUCAGAUGAUUAGAAAACUCACCUGUUGCUCAUGCCUAUUAUAGGCUAACAUUAUAUAUAUAUAUAUAUAUAUAUAUAUAUAUGUAUAUGCAUCAUUUGUAUAUAUAAGAAAAACAUUUUUAAACCUGGGUUAAUUUUGAAGUGAACUGUUUCCACUUAAGCCCUACUCAGAUAUCUAGCACAUAGAAACUAUCAGUGACUGACACAUAAUAGAAAUUAAGUAAAUGUUUGUUGAAUGAGUGAAUAAAUGAGUAAGUGGGUGAAUGCCUCAUUAUUAGAAUGGAAGAAGCCUUGAGUUCUCAAGGCCAGUGACCCUGACUGGUACAAUCAAACUGGAAAGCUUUCAAAUAAGAAUUCAGCAAUACUGAGAACUAAUUUAGCUCAAUUUGGAGAAACUAAUCUCCAGAAAAGUUGGUCAUAAAAUGACCUCUAAAAAUGACCACCUUAUGAUAGAAUGGGAAGGCUAUUUUUAGCAUUGGUGAAGGCAAUAAUAAAAUAACAAAUCUUUUAAAGAUGUGGAGAAAAGACAGAGAUGGAAUUUGCUCCCAAAUGCCAUAAUGGAAUAACAAGUUCUAUGACUAUCCUUAAAAUAUUUAUUUCCUAGGACAUUUUAGAUUAGAAAAGCUCUUCUCCACAGUGAGCCACUAUUUUAUCUCCUAUCAAAUAGCAGAUGAUGCUUCUGGGACGAUUGAACCAUAACCAGGAAAUUUGUCCAGGCUGAAGCCUUUUCCAAGUGUGGAAUUUUCCUUGGAUAUCCAGCAGGGGACACUCACACACAGAUUAGACAGAGAGAUGGUCAGUUCCAGUUCCCUUGUAUUAAGUGUCAGUCUCAUCACCCCACAAUCGCUGUCCAUCUCAUCCUAGAAUGUAUGGACUACCCACUGUGUACCUGUUAUUGAUCUACUGCAGACUGUUUAUCUCAGUUAUUCCUUUAUCAUUGUCUUAGCUACAGCAGGAAAAUACUUCUGGCAUUACUCUCAGUGACACCCAUUUCAGACCCAGGGGCUUCCUGUUCCACCACCAAUGUGUAUUACUUCCUGACUGACAGAUUCUCCUAACAUUUUAGAUAGAUGAAGAUGAAAAGACACUUUAACCUCCUAUGGACAAACAGGUAGUCACACAUAAAAUCAGUAAAUAUUAUUUCUCCUCUAAUCACCUUUAUUCUCAUAGAAAAUGUUCAAUCUUAUUGACAGAAAGUUUGACUUCUUCCUCUGUAUGCUUAAGAUAAAAUCAAAAUCUGUUUUCUCAUCUCUGUUCAGUUGCUCAGAUAUUUUCAAAUAUGAGAAAACUGAGGGGCUAACUUCUUAAUUUUAUGAACUCUUGUUUGAAUUUCAAAGGUUUAACACCUUUGGAAACAAGAAUUCAAAAAAGUCUUUAAGGGUUUAUACCUAUGUAUACACAGAGAGAGAUAGACGAGAGACAGAGACAGAGAGAACCAACACUUCUUUUUGACCCUGCAAAAAAGAGAGAUUAAAAAAUUAGCAAAAACAUUUAUUUUUUUUUUUAGUUUGUUAAAAACCAUGGAGGGGACUUCCGGUCAAGAUGGCGGCUUAGAGAAAGCUAAAGUUCAGACCUCCAGAAACCCUUCCCGACCGAUCUCAAACUAUAAGCUCCUAAGGCACCGAAAUUCAAAAUGAUCAACAGCAUAGACCCUGGGAAUCCUCCUCCUGGACCUGGACCUGGAUCAAAAGGUACGGCCCCCCUCAAAAGCCAGAACCCGAGAUCACUCGGACCUAAGGGGUAGGAGUGCAGAGUCCAAGGCUCCUGGAAGCCACAGCCCCGCCCCCCUCAGAGAGCAGGGUCCUCUGAAACAACAGCAACCCUCAGGGCGGGCAAGACAGCCUCACCAGCUGGAUCCUGCUAUCCAAGUCUCAGUGAAAGUCACUGCCCUCGGAGCUCCAGGAAGCCUCGGCCCCUUCCCCUGCAGGGAGCAGGGUCCUCUGAAACAACAGUAACCCUCAGGGCUGACAAAACAGCCUCACGGCCAGCUAUUCUGAAGGCAACUUCCGGAAAGCAACCCGACCCAGUCCAGUCGAGGGGGAACCUUAGCAGCAGGGAAACAGAGAGAGCCGGGGGAGAGUGUGGCCCCCUGGUCCGACCCUUCUAUUCCACUUCCAGUGAAAGUCAUUGCCUUAAGGCAUACUCAGUUUAACCUAGGGAAAGCUCAUAAAACCGACAAUCUGCCCAGGACUAAAGCCUCUGAACACCAGACAGAAAUAAGAAAAGCUAAUCCUCCCCAUUCAGAGAUGGCAAACUCCACAGAAGCACAGAAGCCCCAAAAUCCCAAGAAAAAUAAGAAGAAAGGGGCUACUUUGGACACAUUCUAUGGAGCCAAAAUACAAAAUACAGAGGAGAUAGAAUACGAUACACAAGAAAAUGCCCCCAAACCUUCCAAAGGAAAUGGAAACUCUCCACAAACCCAUGAAGAAUUUGAAUCAGAAAUGACCAAAAAGAUGGAAGCCUUCUAGGAGGAAAAGUGGGAAAUAAUGCAAAAGAAAUUCAUGCAUCUUCAAAACCAAUGUGACCAAACUGAAAAGGAAAACCAGGCUUUAAAGGCCAGAAUCAGGCAGCUGGAAGACAACGAUCAUGAAAAAGAGCAAGAAUUAAUAAAGCAAAGCCAAAAUACCAAGAAAGUAGAAGAGAACAUAAAAUAUCUCACCGACAAGGUGACAGAUCUGGAAAAUAGAGGGAGAAGAGAUAAUUUAAGAAUAAUUGGACUUCCAAAAAAGCCAGAAAUAAACACCAAACUUGACAUCAUGAUACAAGAUAUAAUCAAAGAAAAUUGCCCAGAGAUUCUAGAACAAGGGGGUAAUACAGCCACUGACAGAGCUCACAGAACACCUUCUACACUAAACCACCAAAAGGCAACUCCCAGGAUUGUAAUUGCCAAAUUCCAAAGCUCUCAAACAAAAGAAAAAAUCCUAUAGAAAGCCAGAAAAAGACAAUUUAGAUAUAAAGGAAUGCCAAUCAGGGUCACAAAAGACCUUACAAGUUCUACACUGAAUGAUCAUAAGGCAUGGAACAUGAUCUUCAGAAAGGCAAGAGAGCUGGGUCUUCAACCAAGAAUCAGCUACCCAGCAAAACUGACUAUAUACUUCCAAGGGAAAGUAUGGGCAUUCAACAAAAUAGAAGAUUUCCAACUUUUUGCAAAGAAAAGACCAGAGUUCUGUGGAAAGUUUGAUACUGAAAAACAAAGAGCAAGGAAUACCUGAAAAGAUGGGGAUAGAGAAGUUUCAGAGGGAAAAAAAAACACAAAUAAUCAAGAAAUCUAAACUGCUCAAGAAGGAACUUCACAAGCUACCAUUUUGGACAGCAAAUGUACAUACAGGAAAGAAAAGGCAUCUAUCUGUAAAAUGAUCUGGAGAAGAAAAUGGCAAACCACUUUUAAAUCUUUGCCAAGAAAAUUCCAAAUGGGGUUAUGAAAAGUAAGACACAACUGAAAUGACCAAACAACAGCUAAUCAACAGAGCAUUUUGGUGAUUUAAAUUAAUGUGGAUUAAUGAAAGACUUUUCUUGUUACUUUCACCCUUCAUCAUAUUUACAUGGCCAAUAAAUGUAGAUAGCUAUCAUUUCCCUGUUUCAUUGAUACACUGGAGUUAGUCAAAACUCAUUAAGUAGUAUUUCUGCUUCAUGCAGCAUAGCUAGAAAAAAAAUAGUUUUUCUUUACAGUCAUUAGAAUUCCAUUAACUUUAAUGCCUUGUUAAUAUUUUUAUGUCCCUUGAGGCUUUUUGUGCAGUUUUUAAUGCCUCAUCAGGCCAUCAACUUUUAUGACAUUUAGGACCUGGAUUUUAUCCAACUGCUUCAAUUCUUCAACAAUAUGUGAUGCCCCCCAAAAUGAUUCAAUAGAGAUUACAAGAACAAUGCACUCUAGAAAACCAUUUUUUAAAAGACUUUAAAGUACAGUUUCUAUCAUGAAAACUCUUUUAUCUAAAACAUUGUCUGACUUUUGUGAUCAAAUAGAAAUUCUCCAGGAUUCAGUGAUCUUUCCCAGAGGCAUCAAUUACCUGAGCAUGAAGAGAUGUUGUGGUCUGUUGGAUAAGUGGACUAGACCCCAAGGAAAAUGUUUGCAGGCAUUACAUCCAUAUUUUAAAGAACAUGGCCAGUAGACCAAACAAAAGCUAAGUUUGCUCAGGCAGAGCUAGUACCUGCAUUCAAAAAGGCACUAUUAUUUCAAAAUUUUCAGGAAACUUUUUUUUUAAUGGGAUUUUAGUUUUUAUUUUAUUAUUUUUUGUUUCUUUUUUUCCAUUUGAAUCAGUUUAUUUAGUCAAUUUAGAACAUUAUUCCUUGGUUACAAUAAUCACAUUAUUUCCCACUCUUCCCGCAGCCAACAUGCAAUUUCAUUGGGUAUUACAUGUGCCCUUGAUCAGAACCCAUUUCCAUGUUGUUGUUUACACUAGGAUGUUCAUUUAGAGUCUACAUCCCCAACAAUAAGCCUUCAACCCAUGUAUUGAAGCAAUUGUUUUUCUUUAGUAUUUUUACUCCCACAGUGUUUCCUCUGGAUGUAGAUAGCAGUUUUUCUCGUAGGUUCCUCCGAAUUGUAAAGGGUCAUUGCAUUGCCACUAAUGGAGAAGUCCAUUACAUGAGUACAAUGUUCUCCUGGCUCUGCUCCUUUCACUCUGCAUCACUUCCUGGAGGUUGUUCCAGUCCCAAUGGAAUUCCUCCACUUUAUUAUUCCUUUGAGCAAAAUAGUAUCCAUCACCAACAUAUACCACAAUUUAUUCAGCCAUUCCCCAAUUGAAGGGCAUCCCCUCAUUUUCCAGUUUUUGGCCACCACAAAGAGCACAGCUAUGAAUAUUCUUGUACAAGUCUUUUUCCUUAUUAUGUCUUUGGGGUACAAACCCAGAAGUGCUAUGGCUGGAUCAAAGGGCAGACAGUCUUUUAUUGCCCUUUGGGUAUAGUCCUAAAUUGCCCUCCAGAAUGGUUGUAUCAAUUCACAACUCCACCAGCAAUGCAUUAAUGUCCCAACUUUGCCACAUCCCCUCCAACAUUCAUUACUUUCCUUUGCUGUCAUGUUAGCUAAUCUGCUAGGUGUGAGGUGAUACCUCAGAGUUGUUUUGAUUUGCAUUUCUCUGAUUAUAAGAGAUUUAGAGCACUUUUUCUUGUGCUUAUUAAUAGUUUUGAUUUCUUUAACUGAAAAUUGCCUAUUCAUGUCCCUUGCCCAUUUUUCAAUUGGAGAAUGGCUUGAUUUUUUUGUACAACUGGUUUAGCUCUUUAUAAAUUUGAGUAAUUAGACUUUUGCCAGAUGUUUUUGUAAUGAAGAUUGUUUCCCAAUUUGUUGUUUCCCUUCUAAUUUUGGAUGCAUUAAUUUUGUUUCUACAAACACUUUUUAAUUUGAUGGAAUCAAAUAUGCUCCCUCUCUAUCUCCUUCCCCGCCAUCUGUGUUGGACACUCCAAACUUGGCACAGUCCUGCCCACAAGGUACACCCUCCAGACCAGCACCUUUGACUGUCCAAAAGUUCCCACUGCUGCUGGAGUCUCAGUGCUCUGGAUGGGUGGGGGGAUGGGUCCUGGGACCUCUGUCUUCCCCUUAAACCCAAGUGUUCUUGGAUUCCGGCUUUUCAGGGGGCGUACCUUCUGAAUUAAGUCCAGUAGGAGGAGAGUCCUUGGCUCUGUCUUGUUGUUAAGUUUGAUUUUGAGUCCCCUAGGAGCAUUAAGUUUGUGAUUGGUAGGAACGGUAUUCAGAGGUCCAAACUUCUGCUCCUUCUGGGCCGCCAUCUUGACCCAGGAAACAUCUUGUAUCAUUAUAACUUAUCCUGUUCCUCUCCUAUCUACUCCCAAACUAAGAGUAGGAACAUAAUUCAAGGAAUAGCAAAAGUAAAUGAUCAUAAUAUAAUCACAAUAGGAAAACCUCAAUGAGAAAGAAAGAAGAUAAUAUGCACAUUCCCUUUUAUUUCAAGAGAAAAAUAAAUAAGAUUAAAUAUUUAAAACUGGUAUAGCAUAAAAAACAAAAACUAUUUUAAAAAUUCCUUGUUAAUCAGACAAAAAGCAAUGAAUUUUCAUGAUUAAUGGAAAUUAACCAGACAACAUUCACCAAUCCAUCAUUUUGUUGUUAUGAAUCAUUUCUAACUCUUCUUGACUCCAUUUGCAAAGAUACUGGAGUAGUUUGCCAUUUCCCUCUCCAAUUCAUUUUACAAAUGAGGAAAAUGAGGCAGAAUUAAAUAACUUACCUGCAGUCAUGCAGCUAGUAAGAACUCAAAAAUAAUGUGUUUUUUUUUCACUGCAGGCUCAACACACUAUUGACUGUACCAUCUAGUUGCUCCUAAUAUAUAUUUAUGUAUAAGUUUGUAUGUAUACCUAUAUAUAUAUGUAAUAGGGAUUCUGAACAUGUAUAUCCCAGAUGAAGAAACCUAUCAAUGCAGAUCAGUACUUUUUCUACAGCUUAUAGUCUUCACUGAGUUGCAAAAGGCAAAGAGAGUCAUCAAACACAGGGCUCACAACACUUCUAAGUGCCCAAUAAACCAGAUUAAAAUGCAAUUUAGAAAUUUUAGCAAAGUGCAUUGUAUAGUUGGAAAAUCUUGAACCCCAGGACUACAUUCCCCAGAAUUCCUUUUGUAUUUCCCAGCAUCCCUUUCCCUGCAACCUCAAGUUUGCCUAGUUAUGUAAUUGUUUAAAGCUUUCUGGGAUGGCUCCCUCUUUUUCUUCUUUAUCAAGACCAGAGCUGGAGUUAGUUAGCUCCCUUUUAACUGUAGUUUUUAUUUUAAUAAUUAUUAUAAAUAUAAUACUUUAGUUACUAUAUAUUCAUUUCAAUUCUCACAGAAUAAAAAUACAAUGAAAUAUAGAUAAUUAAUAUGUGGUUUUCUAAGUCUACAUGUGGCCUACUGGAAUUGUUAUGUACAUUUUAAUAGCCCCACUUCUAAUUGAGUUAGACAUCUGUUGUUGGGAGAAAAAGGAAGGAAUGAUAGGAAAAGGAAGGGAAGGUAGGUAGCCAGGGGUACCCCCCCCUGCAUUGGCAGAGAAAUUGUUCAGGGUUUUUCUUUUAGGUAGGCUAGGGAGUUAAAUUAAAUCAAACUAGACUCCAGAGAAAGUUAGGUAGGUUUAUUUAAGGUUAGGAAAAGAAAGUUUGGGAAAGUUAGAGAAAGUUUGAUCUCUGGCAGCUAUGCAGAGACCAAAGUUCUCCACCCAGGUUGGGGAAGAGGAGGGGAGACACAAGCCAAAACCCAGGCUUCUCUCUUCUUUUAUUCUCCCUCUGAUACCUCCCACGAAAGAAGUGGGAGGUGUCAGAGGAAGUUGCAGUAAAGAGUCUGGGGAGAUGGAGUUUCCCAGGGCUUAGGUCCACUUCAAUACACACACAUCACUAGUCUAGAGCACUGAGAAUUUAAAUGAUCUACCCAGUUUCAUAAUAACAUUUAUGUUAUAUUAUCUAUAAGCACUUUGGCUGAAAUAUCAGAAUUUAUAGUAUUUUACUAAAUAAUACUUAAAUUACUCAGGACUUAUGUAGAAUCGCAUAUAUAUAUGUAUAUACAUACAUAUAUAUAAUGUGAUAUCUGCUCUGUGGUGUAUAAGGAAGCAUUGUAAGUAGAAAAAACAUAUGUAUGUGCAGAUUGUAUCUAUUCUCAUCCACAGGUUUAUAUAUUACACAUAUAGAUGUAUUCUUAUUGAUCAGUUGUAUCAAAUAUAUGAACACUCAUACAGAAUUAUUAAGGAGCAUCACAAAGGUAUUUGCUUCAUGCAAAAUUGAAAUUGAGCUGCUAUCAAUAUUAAAUGAAAUUAUGGAAGAAUAAAUAAACAUAAAUAACAUAAAUGUUAUUAUGAAACCAGGCUAUGUUGGAGGCAGGACUUGAACCCAGUUCUCACAGUUCUACUCUAUACACUAUGCCAUGCUACCUUUCAUGUGAAGUCAUGUACCCAGGUGUGUAGACAGACACAUAGACACACAUAUGUAGACAAAAUUUUUUUUAUGAAAAGUAUAUAUAAUCAACGAGGAUGACGAAUGGCUAUGGUAGGGGUCUUGAAGUCAGUUGGCUUCUUUGAAUGUGUGCCUAUUUACUUGGCUGAGACUAAAAGGGAAAGAAGGAAGGAGCCAGAGAUGCCUCCUUCGCUUCUGGUGUGUUUUGAGUUGCUGGCUGUGUGAUUCUGGAUACUUAAGACAUAAACACUAAUGGCUGAAAGAAAGUACAGAGCUGCAGAGGGUGUUCUCUACAUUAAUAAAUGGUAGGGACAAUUUCUAUCCGUCUCUAAAGGGAUCCAACAGGAGACUUGUAAUUUUCCUUUUUGGUAGAAAAGUUUGGGGGACACUGAGGUGAGGGUUGAGGGAAGACUAGUAAUUUUCCUUUCUUGUGACUUUUCUGUAAUCGGGUGAGGUAAAAUGGUAAAAGGUGAUUGAAGUGACAUUAUAGAGAGACUUAAAUGAUGGGCUAAAGAAUUUGGAAUUUAUUUGAUAGGCAAUAUGAUAGAUAUAAUAAUAAUAAUAACUGACAUUUUAUAUGUCUUUAAGGUUUACAGAGGUCAUCAAUAAGAUAACAUGUUAUGUCAUUUGAUCUUUACAUUGUGAGGUAGGUGCUAUUGUUACCUCCUUUUUACAGAUGGUGCAAUUAAGUUUGAGAGAGAAUAACAGAAUUUGCCAGGGUCACAAGGGCAGGAAUUACCUGAGGCAGGACUGAACCCAGGUCUUCUUGAAUCCAAGUCCCACACUCUAACCACUGUACCACCUAGCUGCCUCAGAGUUGGAAGAGAGCUUAGAUACCAUUUAAUUUAACUUCUCUCCUUUUACUAAAAAAGCAAAAGUGAAAGGAACUCAAAGUUGAACCCAAGUCCUCUGACUCUUUUGAUGGAGAAAUAAAAAAAUUUGAGACUCAUCCAGAUGAUAUAUUUAGAAAGAUAAGUGAUUUCAAAACAAAUUGGGUGCAAGGCUUUUAGUCAGCCCAAAGACCUGAAACCUUGGUUUCUACAGUCAAUGUAUAGUUAAAAGAAUGAAAAGUAGGAUGUAGAUUUUGAGCCACCCUGUUCCUUUUUGGUCCAGAGGAUUGGGAAAUACUGAGAUGGGAGAGGCAGACAUAAUUUUCCUUUCUUUUGAUUUUCUUGUAAUCAGAUGACUUACACAAAAUUAGAAUUUAAUUUAACAAAAUAGUGAAUAAAGGCAAAAUGGAGUUAAUCAUGCUAUUUUAAAUGUAAUGCUCUAGGAUGUUUUCUAUCAUAUCAUGCUGCCUCUUCAAUUAGAACCAUGGAUGGUCUAUGCAUAGAGAAAUGAUAUCAUCUGACCUUUUGUAAUAGGAUGAUUAUCUGACAGCAAUGUGUCUAGUAUGAAUGGAAAAAGGAAGAAGCCAUAUGCCAGGAGAUUAAUUAGGAGCCCAUUGUGACCAUCUAGGCAGGAGAGAAAGAAGGAUGAAACUAGAGUAACAGUUUCAGCCUUCAGAGCAAUGCAUGUGAGAGAUGAGGCAGGGAUAGAAUCUUGAAGAUUUGUGAACUAAUUGGAUCCAUGCAUUGUGGGCAGAGGGAAAUGACUCUAAGGACCUUAGUGUGAUUAAGCUGGUCAAGAGAAUUAUGAUAUCAUUGACAAAGAUAAGGCAUUUAUAAUCCUGGGUAAAUUUAGGAGAAAAGAUAAAUUCAGUUUUAGAUAUUUUCCUUUAGCAGGACAUUUAAAAUGAAGCUAUUUUGUUGGCAGUUGAAACCAUGAGUCUAAAACUCAGGAAAGAAGUCAGAAUUGGGGCUAUCUGGGAGAAGAUUUGGGAGUUGUGAUUAUUUCUCUCUUAUAUUUGUAUGUCAGGAACUGACCUUAUCGGCCUGGAAGUAGCCUUUACUGGUAACUACCAGCAAUGAAUAGGUUACCAUAGAAAAAGAUGGAAAGAAUACAGAUUUAAAAAAACUUUAAUAAAUUUUUGCUUGUUAAUUGAUUAUGGUCCAGGAUUUGACAUUCGUGAUUAAUAGACUGAAAAACCUGAGGAGGAAGGAAGCACUAAUAUGAAGAAGAUGAAGAAAGGCUUCCUGAGGGAGAUGGUCCCUGAAUACGUCUUGAAGAAAAUUGCCUCACAUAUAAGGUGAAGAGAGCUCGAUUUUCUUUGUUCCCCAAAUGUAGACUUCUCAUCUGAGUUCCCCAGAAAGCGCCACAAGGGGCUCAGCAGGGCUCAGCAGGGCAACUAGCUUAAGCUGUGUGUGACUCAGCAGCCAUGAGAGCCCAGCAGCAAGUCCAGUUCAAGCAGGAUCAGCAGGCUGCAUCCCCACAGAGAUCACCUGCCCACACCGAAAUCACUUCCUCCGCCCCAACACUGCCCAGAGGCUCAGUCAGCAGCACUCUUGCAGCCUUUCCCUCAAGACUCUCAACAAUGGCUCCGGAAUGUCAUCACUGCCAACAAAAGGCUUUCCAUAACACUAACUUAAUUGGAUCUGCCCAGCUGCCUACUGGUGGGUGUCAAGUGCACAGCUUGGAAAAGAGCAGUAAAGUUGGAAUUAGGAGACCUGGAUCUGCCUCUUGGCUCCAAGAGAAUCACAGAAUUUGAGAUUUGGAAGGGACUUCCGGAAACUUUUAGUCCAAACCAUACCAGAAAGAAAUCCCCAAGUAUAAAGUACCCAGUAAGCAAUCAUUUGGCCCCUUGUGAAGAUCUCCAAGGACAGGGAACUUGCCAUCAAUCCAAGUAGCACGCUUCACUUAUGACCAGCUCCAAUUGGAAGUCUCUUUCCUCAAAUAAAGCCUUUUUGAAACUCC